This 542-nucleotide ribosomal RNA is filed under the name uncultured Acidobacteriota bacterium. Its description in RNAcentral is "bacterial SSU rRNA". It matches the Rfam family "Bacterial small subunit ribosomal RNA", at positions 8 to 525 of the family's 1533-position model. The record is from RNAcentral. Lineage: Bacteria; Pseudomonadati; Acidobacteriota.
AGAGUUUGAUCCUGGCUCACAGCGAACGCUGGCGGCGUGCCUAACACAUGCAAGUCGAGCGAGAAAGGUCCCUUCGGGGGCUGAGUAAAGCGGCGGACGGGUGAGUAACGCGUGGGUAACCUGCCCUCGAGUUGGGGAUAACCCCGGGAAACCGUGGCUAAUACCGGAUGAUGAUUGUGUUCCUGCGGGGACGCAGUGCAAAGCUGGCCUCUCCAUGGAAGCUGGCGCUCGAGGAGGGGCCCACGUCCUAUUAGCUUGUUGGUGGGGUAACGGCUCACCAAGGCUACGAUGGGUAGCCGGCCUGAGAGGGUGGUCGGCCACACUGGGACUGAGACACGGCCCAGACUCCUACGGGAGGCAGCAGUGGGGAAUUUUGCGUAAUGGGCGAAAGCCUGACGCAGCGACGCCGCGUGGAGGACGAAGGCCUUCGGGUCGUAAACUCCUGUCAGACGGGAAGAAAGGGCACCGGUCAAUACCCGGUGCUCCUGACUGUACCGCCAGAGGAAGCCCCGGCUAACUCCGUGCCAGCAGCCGCGGUAAUU